CAUGGCUCAGGAUGAACGCUAGCUACAGGCUUAACACAUGCAAGUCGAGGGCGAGCGAGAAGGAAGCUUGCUUCUUGUCGGCGACCGGCGCACGGGUGAGUAACGCGUAUCCAACCUUCCCCUUAGUAGGGCAUAGCCCGGCGAAAGUCGGAUUAACACCCUAUGUUAUCCGAAGAGGACAUCUGAAUUGGAUUAAAGGUUUACCGCUAAGGGAUGGGGGAUGCGUCUGAUUAGGUAGUAGGCGGGGUAACGGCCCACCUAGCCGACGAUCAGUAGGGGUUCUGAGAGGAAGGUCCCCCACAUUGGAACUGAGACACGGUCCAAACUCCUACGGGAGGCAGCAGUGAGGAAUAUUGGUCAAUGGGCGAGAGCCUGAACCAGCCAAGUCGCGUGAAGGAUGAAGGUUCUAUGGAUUGUAAACUUCUUUUGUCCGAGGGUAAAAAAGGCCACGUGUGGCUUCUUGCAAGUAUCGGACGAAUAAGCAUCGGCUAACUCCGUGCCAGCCGCCGC
This 510-nucleotide ribosomal RNA is filed under the name uncultured bacterium. RNAcentral describes it as "bacterial SSU rRNA". It matches the Rfam family "Bacterial small subunit ribosomal RNA", at positions 18 to 518 of the family's 1533-position model. The record is from RNAcentral.